UCCCCGGUGGCUCAAUCGGCAGAGCGGGUGACUGUUAAUCACUAGGUUACAGGUUCAAGUCCUGUCCGGGGAGCCA
This 76-nucleotide transfer RNA is filed under the name Desulfovibrio psychrotolerans. Its description in RNAcentral is "tRNA-Asn". It matches the Rfam family "tRNA". Rfam says of the family: Transfer RNA (tRNA) molecules are approximately 80 nucleotides in length. RNAcentral also lists the same sequence under 3 other names. Lineage: Bacteria; Pseudomonadati; Thermodesulfobacteriota; Desulfovibrionia; Desulfovibrionales; Desulfovibrionaceae. The record is from RNAcentral.